GUGAAGAACGCAGCGAAAUGCGAUAAGUAAUGUGAAUUGCAGAAUUCAGUGAAUCAUCGAAUCUUUGAACGCACCUUGCGCCCUUUGGCCAUUCCGAAGGGCAUGCCUGUUUGAGUAUCAUGAACACCUCAACUCUUCAUGGUUUUCCGUGAUGAGCUUGGACUUUGGGGGUCUUGCUGGCCUAUGGUCAGCUCCUCUAAAAUAAAUAAGCUUGCCAGUGUUUGGUGGGUAUCACAGGUGUGAUAACUAUCUACGCUUGUGGUUUUCCACCAGGUAACCUUCAGCAGUGGAGGUUCGCUGGAGCUCACAGAUGUGUCUCUCCUCAGUGAGGACAGCUCUUUGAAUGUUUGAUCUCAAAUCAGGUAGGACUACCCGCUGAACUUAAGCAUAUCAAUAAGCGGAGGA
RNAcentral lists this unclassified non-coding RNA (405 nucleotides) under soil metagenome. Its description in RNAcentral is "partial contains 5.8S ribosomal RNA, internal transcribed spacer 2, and large subunit ribosomal RNA". The stretch from base 2 to 120 matches the Rfam family "5.8S ribosomal RNA", at positions 37 to 154 of the family's 154-position model. The record is from RNAcentral.